GACUAAAUCUGCUUUCUGUAUUUCCCUUUACAUUUCAAUCCCCCUUCAAAUCUUUGUUUUUUUCCACUGAGGAGAGAAAGCCUGACUUUCAAGUGGAGCUCGAGUGUUUACUACUAGGUUUGAUGACUCUCUUAUGAAAAUGGAUUUUGCUUUCCUUUCAGUUUUCUCCUGUUCUCAGUUCAGAACAAUCCUGUGUUUACAGCUGAUAAAACAGCCUGUCUUCAAAUCCCAGUAUAGAAUAGUUCAACUUACUGAGUCUUCCAAGAUUAUUUCCCCAGAAUGAGUGACCUGAGGGAAGACUCAUCCCAAGUAUAAACAUCCUUUCUCUGCUUGGCCAAUUUGCAAAGGAGCCAGUUUGCAUACGUACCAAAAAGCACCCUUGUCCGAAAACAUGAUAAGUACCUCGUCAAAAUCUGUUUUGCUAUUUCAACAUAAUUUGGGUUAAUUCUGCAACAUGUUAACUUUUUUUUUUCCAGUAAAUAAAUGAACGGAGAUCAAAAAACUCUUUUCUUCUUUGAGGUCCAGAUGGAAAAUGGCUGAAGUUCAGAUUAAAUGUUUCCACCAGCAGUAUGCCCAGCAGAUCUUUAUUGACAAAAAUUUUAGGUGGCUUAAACAAGAUGUAUUCAAGUAAUAAUGAAACAAAAAUAGAAAAUCAAAACCAAGGAAGAUGGAAAGACCAAUACUAGCCAUAAUGUUCAACCCUGUUUUAAAAUUUGUCUCUGUGUUUCUUCAAAAUCAUUAUAAAGGGUAGAACUUCAUUUGUUGUAGAGUCUGAAAUCUGGAAGAGAUCCUUAGAAGAAUAUCAAAGUUCACUGGAAUAAAAUUAUUUUUAAAAAUUAUCUCCAACCUGGUGAAAACUAGGUAUUUUAAAACUUUAAUAUAUAAUUAAUCUUUGUUAUGCUUCUUUAAUACAAAAAAAACUUAUGUACCCACAGAUGCACAUAUAUUAUAUCAUAGUCUCUUAUCUUCCCAUAUUGAAGGAGGAUAGAUACAUAUAUUUUACAUAUACAUUGAUUUAUACAUCACAUUUUCAUGAUGUAUGUAUGUUCGUGUACAUAUAAUUUUCCUAUAAUAAUAUUUAGAUAUAUUAAUUAACUAUCAUAAACUCUAGAUAACAGUCUCUGAAAUAACUGGCAAACUAUUCAUCAGUGACUUCACACAGGUAUUUGGGUCCUUCUGCCAUAGACCUAAAACAUAACAGAGUUCUUUCAUUGCUCAGAAUCUCAGAGAUUUCAGUGCUUAGAUUCUCUAAAAUGGAGAAUUCCCUACUGGCUGUAGUAUUGUAGAGAUCACUUUCCCUUAAAAAAAGAAAAAGAAUUGCUUCUGGGAAUCUGAUCUCUCGUUUUAUUAAAACACGUAUCGCAAAAUUCUGCCAGUGGUUUGCAGUGAAUAUCUAUAGACGGUUUAGCUGUCAUGCUUCAAAUAAAAUCUGCCAGUGAAUCCAUCAUGCUAUCUAAUACUUUGCUCUACUAAGAAAAAAAAAUGCUCUGGGACAAUCCCUUCAAAGAAACGGUUCUUUACAUUCCCUGACUUUGUAUUAAAGAUACUCAAUUUGUAAAUAUUGAUUCUUCCUUGAUUUUUAUAUUGUCUAUUCUUUCCCAUAGUGGACCAAAUGCACUGAUUUUUCUGUCUAAAUCUAAAAGGGCACCAUCCACAUAUCUUUGUAUGUGACAAUUUAUAAUAGUAGGAUCAUUAUUUUUCAUUGCUUAUAGCACCAUAACUUGGAAAAAUCUGAAUAAGAAACAAUUAUAGAGUAUUAGUUCAAUAAGUUCAAGAACAUUCAUCUAAUGAAAUGCUGUGUGUUUGUUAACCUUAGUUCAUGUAAGAACAUUUAAAAUAUUCUUAAUAUGAAAAGGUUGGAAAACUUUAUAAUUUCUGAUAUGAUGUCAUUUGUAUGUUGUGUGCAUGAGUGUGAAAAGCAUUUAUAGAAAGAAGCAAAUUAGAUUCACCAAAAUGUUGAUGUAGCUCUUGCUGGUUGGUGGAAUUUGAUUAAGAAUUACUUCCUUCAUUGUUCUCUUCUGAAGAUUAUAAAUAAAUAUGCAUUCUACCUAUAAUAAGAGGAUUACUUUUUAAUUUAAAGAGCAAAUUGACUUUGGAAAAUGCUACAUUUAGAAUAUCGGCUGAGCAUGGACGUCAUGUAAAAGAACUAAACUACACUGCUUAAGAAGAUGAGAGCCAUUCAUUUUCUCCUAGGAGUGAGGAGAGAGGAAUGAAAGGAGUGAAGUUUGAUGAAAGAUGAGAGGGAGGGAGUCCAGAAAUUCCACAAGAUUGCUCAUGCUGCAGAAUAAACCUCCUUAAACAUGGUAACAAGUUAAAUCUUGGUGAGUUUGUACUUAUGUUGGAACAGGUGAGGAGUGUAGGGUCUUGCAUUUCGGUUGCCAUGGGGUGAAAGUGAAGCUCCAUCUGUGGGUUCAGGAGCCCAGAGUGGAGACCCAAGAGAACAGACGAAUUAAGAGCCAUCUGCAGGUGGGUUAGAAUCUUCCACAUUCUGUUAUUAGUUGAAGCUACUCUCUUUUGAUCUCAAAGUUUGAUCUCACCUAGCUACCUAGAAUUGAUAGAAUUAUUAAGUCUUGGGUGGAGAAGAUUGGGAUGUGGGUUAGAAGCUGAGAAAGAACCAUCCUGAACAUGGGCAGCACCAUUCAAUUGGCUGGGGUCCCAGAUGCAACAGAAAGGAAGAAUGCAGAAAAUUGUGUCAUCUAUCCAUCCAUCUAUCUAUUAUCUAUCUAUCUGUCUGUCUGUCUGUCUAUCAUCAAUCAUCUAUCUGUGACUCUUCUUUCUAGAGCAGGCAUAUUUUAUGCUGCUGCUACCCUUGAACAUCUCCAGGUUCUUUGGUCUUUGGAUUCAGGGACUUACAAUAGUGGCCCUCCCAGAGUCUCUCCAGCCAUUAGCCUCUGAUAAGGCUUCCAGCUGUCUGAACUGAGCCACUAUGUCUUCCCUGGCUCUUCAGCUUGCAUCUGGCCAUUGUGGAAAUUUACAGCCCCUGUGAUGGUGUGAGCUACUGUAAUAAACCCCUUCUUAUAUAAAUGCAUUGUUUCCUGGUUAUGUUGCUUGGCAGAACCCUAAUACAGAACUCUUUCAGGAAAUAUGGAUAGAAAGUACACAUGUCUGGUUUGCAUCAGAUGAAAUCUGCACAACAAGCUACAUAGGAGCCAACAUUACUCAAAAAAAUUCUGGGAACUUGGAUUUGAGGGAAUAGGGAAUAGCCCUGGAUGGGUUAUGAUGGUUUGGGUAAUACUGUUUAAAGAUGGGGGGGAGUAUAUGUGAU
This is a non-coding RNA of Ictidomys tridecemlineatus (thirteen-lined ground squirrel), 3265 nucleotides long. The record is from RefSeq and is a predicted model, not a curated record. NCBI's taxonomy places the organism in Eukaryota, Metazoa, Chordata, Mammalia, Rodentia, Sciuridae.